This 2901-nucleotide ribosomal RNA is filed under the name Escherichia coli DEC13E. RNAcentral describes it as "bacterial LSU rRNA". It matches the Rfam family "Bacterial large subunit ribosomal RNA". Lineage: Bacteria; Pseudomonadati; Pseudomonadota; Gammaproteobacteria; Enterobacterales; Enterobacteriaceae. The record is from RNAcentral.
UAAGCGACUAAGCGUACACGGUGGAUGCCCUGGCAGUCAGAGGCGAUGAAGGACGUGCUAAUCUGCGAUAAGCGUCGGUAAGGUGAUAUGAACCGUUAUAACCGGCGAUUUCCGAAUGGGGAAACCCAGUGUGAUUCGUCACACUAUCAUUAACUGAAUCCAUAGGUUAAUGAGGCGAACCGGGGGAACUGAAACAUCUAAGUACCCCGAGGAAAAGAAAUCAACCGAGAUUCCCCCAGUAGCGGCGAGCGAACGGGGAGCAGCCCAGAGCCUGAAUCAGUGUGUGUGUUAGUGGAAGCGUCUGGAAAGGCGCGCGAUACAGGGUGACAGCCCCGUACACAAAAAUGCACAUACUGUGAGCUCGAUGAGUAGGGCGGGACACGUGGUAUCCUGUCUGAAUAUGGGGGGACCAUCCUCCAAGGCUAAAUACUCCUGACUGACCGAUAGUGAACCAGUACCGUGAGGGAAAGGCGAAAAGAACCCCGGCGAGGGGAGUGAAAAAGAACCUGAAACCGUGUACGUACAAGCAGUGGGAGCACAGAGCAAUCUGUGUGACUGCGUACCUUUUGUAUAAUGGGUCAGCGACUUAUAUUCUGUAGCAAGGUUAACCGAAUAGGGGAGCCGAAGGGAAACCGAGUCUUAACUGGGCGUUAAGUUGCAGGGUAUAGACCCGAAACCCGGUGAUCUAGCCAUGGGCAGGUUGAAGGUUGGGUAACACUAACUGGAGGACCGAACCGACUAAUGUUGAAAAAUUAGCGGAUGACUUGUGGCUGGGGGUGAAAGGCCAAUCAAACCGGGAGAUAGCUGGUUCUCCCGAAAGCUAUUUAGGUAGCGCCUCGUGAAUUCAUCUCCGGGGGUAGAGCACUGUUUCGGCAAGGGGGUCAUCCCGACUUACCAACCCGAUGCAAACUGCGAAUACCGGAGAAUGUUAUCACGGGAGACACACGGCGGGUGCUAACGUCCGUCGUGAAGAGGGAAACAACCCAGACCGCCAGCUAAGGUCCCAAAGUCAUGGUUAAGUGGGAAACGAUGUGGGAAGGCCCAGACAGCCAGGAUGUUGGCUUAGAAGCAGCCAUCAUUUAAAGAAAGCGUAAUAGCUCACUGGUCGAGUCGGCCUGCGCGGAAGAUGUAACGGGGCUAAACCAUGCACCGAAGCUGCGGCAGCGACGCUUAUGCGUUGUUGGGUAGGGGAGCGUUCUGUAAGCCUGCGAAGGUGUGCUGUGAGGCAUGCUGGAGGUAUCAGAAGUGCGAAUGCUGACAUAAGUAACGAUAAAGCGGGUGAAAAGCCCGCUCGCCGGAAGACCAAGGGUUCCUGUCCAACGUUAAUCGGGGCAGGGUGAGUCGACCCCUAAGGCGAGGCCGAAAGGCGUAGUCGAUGGGAAACAGGUUAAUAUUCCUGUACUUGGUGUUACUGCGAAGGGGGGACGGAGAAGGCUAUGUUGGCCGGGCGACGGUUGUCCCGGUUUAAGCGUGUAGGCUGGUUUUCCAGGCAAAUCCGGAAAAUCAAGGCUGAGGCGUGAUGACGAGGCACUACGGUGCUGAAGCAACAAAUGCCCUGCUUCCAGGAAAAGCCUCUAAGCAUCAGGUAACAUCAAAUCGUACCCCAAACCGACACAGGUGGUCAGGUAGAGAAUACCAAGGCGCUUGAGAGAACUCGGGUGAAGGAACUAGGCAAAAUGGUGCCGUAACUUCGGGAGAAGGCACGCUGAUAUGUAGGUGAAGUCCCUCGCGGAUGGAGCUGAAAUCAGUCGAAGAUACCAGCUGGCUGCAACUGUUUAUUAAAAACACAGCACUGUGCAAACACGAAAGUGGACGUAUACGGUGUGACGCCUGCCCGGUGCCGGAAGGUUAAUUGAUGGGGUUAGCGCAAGCGAAGCUCUUGAUCGAAGCCCCGGUAAACGGCGGCCGUAACUAUAACGGUCCUAAGGUAGCGAAAUUCCUUGUCGGGUAAGUUCCGACCUGCACGAAUGGCGUAAUGAUGGCCAGGCUGUCUCCACCCGAGACUCAGUGAAAUUGAACUCGCUGUGAAGAUGCAGUGUACCCGCGGCAAGACGGAAAGACCCCGUGAACCUUUACUAUAGCUUGACACUGAACAUUGAGCCUUGAUGUGUAGGAUAGGUGGGAGGCUUUGAAGUGUGGACGCCAGUCUGCAUGGAGCCGACCUUGAAAUACCACCCUUUAAUGUUUGAUGUUCUAACGUGGACCCGUAAUCCGGGUUGCGGACAGUGUCUGGUGGGUAGUUUGACUGGGGCGGUCUCCUCCUAAAGAGUAACGGAGGAGCACGAAGGUUGGCUAAUCCUGGUCGGACAUCAGGAGGUUAGUGCAAUGGCAUAAGCCAGCUUGACUGCGAGCGUGACGGCGCGAGCAGGUGCGAAAGCAGGUCAUAGUGAUCCGGUGGUUCUGAAUGGAAGGGCCAUCGCUCAACGGAUAAAAGGUACUCCGGGGAUAACAGGCUGAUACCGCCCAAGAGUUCAUAUCGACGGCGGUGUUUGGCACCUCGAUGUCGGCUCAUCACAUCCUGGGGCUGAAGUAGGUCCCAAGGGUAUGGCUGUUCGCCAUUUAAAGUGGUACGCGAGCUGGGUUUAGAACGUCGUGAGACAGUUCGGUCCCUAUCUGCCGUGGGCGCUGGAGAAUUGAGGGGGGCUGCUCCUAGUACGAGAGGACCGGAGUGGACGCAUCACUGGUGUUCGGGUUGUCAUGCCAAUGGCACUGCCCGGUAGCUAAAUGCGGAAGAGAUAAGUGCUGAAAGCAUCUAAGCACGAAACUUGCCCCGAGAUGAGUUCUCCCUGACUCCUUGAGAGUCCUGAAGGAACGUUGAAGACGACGACGUUGAUAGGCCGGGUGUGUAAGCGCAGCGAUGCGUUGAGCUAACCGGUACUAAUGAACCGUGAGGCUUAACCU